RNAcentral lists this ribosomal RNA (1045 nucleotides) under Vibrio sp. RNAcentral describes it as "bacterial SSU rRNA". It matches the Rfam family "Bacterial small subunit ribosomal RNA", at positions 77 to 1118 of the family's 1533-position model. The record is from RNAcentral. Lineage: Bacteria; Pseudomonadati; Pseudomonadota; Gammaproteobacteria; Vibrionales; Vibrionaceae.
GAACGAUAACGGCGUCGAGCGGCGGACGGGUGAGUAAUGCCUAGGAAAUUGCCCUGAUGUGGGGGAUAACCAUUGGAAACGAUGGCUAAUACCGCAUGAUGCCUACGGGCCAAAGAGGGGGACCUUCGGGCCUCUCGCGUCAGGAUAUGCCUAGGUGGGAUUAGCUAGUUGGUGAGGUAAGGGCUCACCAAGGCGACGAUCCCUAGCUGGUCUGAGAGGAUGAUCAGCCACACUGGAACUGAGACACGGUCCAGACUCCUACGGGAGGCAGCAGUGGGGAAUAUUGCACAAUGGGCGCAAGCCUGAUGCAGCCAUGCCGCGUGUGUGAAGAAGGCCUUCGGGUUGUAAAGCACUUUCAGUCGUGAGGAAGGUGGUGUAGUUAAUAGCUGCAUUAUUUGACGUUAGCGACAGAAGAAGCACCGGCUAACUCCGUGCCAGCAGCCGCGGUAAUACGGAGGGUGCGAGCGUUAAUCGGAAUUACUGGGCGUAAAGCGCAUGCAGGUGGUUUGUUAAGUCAGAUGUGAAAGCCCGGGGCUCAACCUCGGAAUAGCAUUUGAAACUGGCAGACUAGAGUACUGUAGAGGGGGGUAGAAUUUCAGGUGUAGCGGUGAAAUGCGUAGAGAUCUGAAGGAAUACCGGUGGCGAAGGCGGCCCCCUGGACAGAUACUGACACUCAGAUGCGAAAGCGUGGGGAGCAAACAGGAUUAGAUACCCUGGUAGUCCACGCCGUAAACGAUGUCUACUUGGAGGUUGUGGCCUUGAGCCGUGGCUUUCGGAGCUAACGCGUUAAGUAGACCGCCUGGGGAGUACGGUCGCAAGAUUAAAACUCAAAUGAAUUGACGGGGGCCCGCACAAGCGGUGGAGCAUGUGGUUUAAUUCGAUGCAACGCGAAGAACCUUACCUACUCUUGACAUCCAGAGAACUUUCCAGAGAUGGAUUGGUGCCUUCGGGAACUCUGAGACAGGUGCUGCAUGGCUGUCGUCAGCUCGUGUUGUGAAAUGUUGGGUUAAGUCCCGCAACGAGCGCAACCCUUAUCCUUGUUUGC